UUGUACCUGGUGGCGAGCGGCGGAAGGGUGAGUAAUGCCUAGGAAUCUGCCUGGUAGUGGGGGAUAACGCUCGGAAACGGACGCUAAUACCGCAUACGUCCUACGGGAGAAAGCAGGGGACCUUCGGGCCUUGCGCUAUCAGAUGAGCCUAGGUCGGAUUAGCUAGUUGGUGAGGUAAUGGCUCACCAAGGCGACGAUCCGUAACUGGUCUGAGAGGAUGAUCAGUCACACUGGAACUGAGACACGGUCCAGACUCCUACGGGAGGCAGCAGUGGGGAAUAUUGGACAAUGGGCGAAAGCCUGAUCCAGCCAUGCCGCGUGUGUGAAGAAGGUCUUCGGAUUGUAAAGCACUUUAAGUUGGGAGGAAGGGCAUUAACCUAAUACGUUGGUGUCUUGACGUUACCGACAGAAUAAGCACCGGCUAACUCUGUGCCAGCAGCCGCGGUAAUACAGAGGGUGC
This 460-nucleotide ribosomal RNA is filed under the name uncultured soil bacterium. RNAcentral's name for it is "bacterial SSU rRNA". It matches the Rfam family "Bacterial small subunit ribosomal RNA", at positions 79 to 535 of the family's 1533-position model. The record is from RNAcentral.